Long non-coding RNA from Silurus meridionalis, 1173 nucleotides. RefSeq lists it as uncharacterized. Lineage: Eukaryota; Metazoa; Chordata; Actinopteri; Siluriformes; Siluridae. The record is from RefSeq and is a predicted model, not a curated record. The transcript has 3 exons.
AAACACAAACACACACACACACACAUACACAUACACACACACCCUGGAGAGGCGCGUAACAACAGAGCUGCUUACCGUACACCAACCAAUCUCAGAACAUCAUGGACCAUAAGGAAGGAGGUUUUUCCGCCCUGCUGGCAUGCACCCCAGCAGAGUUGGAGCGGCAGUCCUGUCAGACAACAUCCCCAGGAUGCUGCACACCAUCUGACUGGCUUGUUCCUCCAGGACCCAUGCAUGAUAAAUCCCUUCAGAAAUAUCGCCACCUGUUCCCAUGAUAGAUGAAUCUCAAGAUUAUGCCACGAAAGCUGUUUUGAGCUCCUACAGGACAAUAUGAAACCUAUAAUCUUUCAUAGGCUGGGAGUGUUUUGGUCUUGAGGGGAGGAGGACAGGUGUAGCUGAUUAGUAUCUAUCUAUCUAUCUAUCUAUCUAUCUAUCUAUCUAUCUAUCUAUCUAUCUAUCUAUCUAUCUAUCUAUCUAUCUAUCUAUCUAUCUAUCUAUCUAUUUAUCUAUCUAAUAUAGAGAGAAUUUAUUCAAUUAUGGUUUUCAUUCCAUUACAAAAAACAGUUGCUGAAAUUAUACUUAAACCCCUGAGGCAGCUUUUAUAUUGAUUUGGACACUGAGUCACUUUUGAAAGAUUGGACAAAAUAAAUCAAAGACCUGUUUGUCAGUAGUGAAUUGAAUCAUCAGCUUAAUAGAAUCUGUCACAAAUCAUGCUUUUCUCCCCAUCCCGCAUGUUGUGUUCAUAUGGGCAUUGUUGUAUACAAAUGGUAUGCUGUGUAAAUUCAGUGGAUAUGUCAUGGAUAGACCAAGCUUCAGAAACCGGGAGUAAUACUGAAUGUUCUUUAUUGUCCACAAAUACACACACAAGAGUUUAAGAAAUGACUGAAGCAAAAUGGCACAAUUAACUGAGUGCUCCUUAGAAGCGUAGCCUGGAGCAUGAAACCAUGGAAGCUCAGGGAACAUAAAAGCCUGGAUGUAUGGACGCAUAGACGCAUGGGGCACCAGAGAGGUCCAGUUGAUCAAUGGUUCUCUGACAGCUGUACAAUGAACAUGUUUUUGUAAUUUACAAAUCUCAUAAACUUAUUUUUUGUUUACAAUAGAAUAUAGAUAACAUAUCAAGUGUUAAAAGUGAGACAUUUUGAAAUGUCAUGCCAAAUAUUGGCUCAUUUUGGA